This is a long non-coding RNA of Thunnus maccoyii (southern bluefin tuna), 1840 nucleotides long. RefSeq lists it as uncharacterized. The transcript has 2 exons. Lineage: Eukaryota; Metazoa; Chordata; Actinopteri; Scombriformes; Scombridae. The record is from RefSeq and is a predicted model, not a curated record.
ACUGCAGCUGAAAGAGUUUCCUCUAAGAAAAUAUAAAACACUUAAAAUAAUAAGAUAAAUGUUAAAACAGCGUCUCUGUUCUCUUAAAGAAGGUCAAAACCUGACAAAUCUAAUCUGUUUACUUCUUUACUACUACUUUACAUACAGACAUAAUAACAAACAUAAUAAUACUCACAACUGCACGAGUUUUAAACAUCCAUUAACUGGUAAAAAGUUUUCUAUAAACUGCAUCUUCACAAAUACAGUCUAUAUGUUGACCUGCCCUUAUGGAAAGGCCUAUAAGACAAACCUUUUCAAAAUCCCAUUUGUGUCCCCCUCACUCUCAGUACCUGAACAUCAUGCUCAACACGUUGCUGUCUGACCAGCUGUCAGAUUCUGAGCUGCUGAUUUUAAAGCCCUGAAAAAAAAAAAAGACCACAGACGACGAGUAGCGGACGGACAGCCUGCUUACGUGGGUCUGUGGUACAUUUUUGGUGUGUGUGGAUGCAGAUCACUGAACGAGCAGGCGGCGGUUCAUAAUAAUAAUGGAACGCCAACAGCAGCGGUUAAAUUUAAACCUGCAAUUUUACGUAUAAAUGAACGUCUGUUAAGCCGAAUGAGGUCAGACGAUGAUGAUUAAGCCAAUCACCACCAGGGAAAUCUAUUUCACAGUAUACAGAGUUUUAAAAUCUUAGACAGUGACGACAUUCCCACGCUAACUCGGCUAACUUCACGUUAGCUCUCUGCUAUCUCGAAUGUGGAUGAAAUAAUUUAAUUGUGCUCUUCUAGACUUUCCAAAUGUUAUCGGACCGAAUGGAUCAAAUCCUGAUGGUGAAACGAGUCAUUUCAUCGGGGUUUGUGUGACGCUCAAAACAAUUUAUCAACCAUCUAACAGCUGCGACAGUAGCGACAGAGCAGGCUAUAGCAGGGCCUCUGAUGUAAGCAAGUGUCGACAGUGUUUUUACAUCGUCAAUACGUCGAUACACUCUUGUUAUGUAACGUUGGCUAUCGAGCAAAAUAGUUGCCAGCCUGUCACAUAUUUCCAAAGGUGGAAAAAGUGAUUUGAUAAACUAAAUAUUUAAAGUGGUUGUAAAACAGCACGAUUUAUUUAUUAACCUAUGUAACUAUGUAAAACGAGUCCACCUUAAACCUUAAACCGCAGCAAGUAUCUGUUAACAUUGUCUGAAAAGCACAGUCUCUCUCGCUGCUAGUUAACAUUAGACUUACACAACACAGGCUCAACAGGUUGACUGGACUCUGGCGUCUGGUGUGUAUGGACGUCAGGGAGGGCGACGCAGCACUGAGCUGCAGGAAGAUCUGGAGUCAGCAGUGAGAUUAGAGUUUUUUUCCUGUUUGAGUGGAGUUAAAAGUCUGCAGUGGACACCAUGUUGUGGCUCCUGCCGCUGCUGCUCUGUGACAACCUGCUCUGCUACUUCAGCCCCGUCCUGGAGAAGGAGGAGAAAUUCAAGCUCAUCGUGACAGAACGUCCUGUCGUCCUGGGGCUGCAUGGCGGAGAUGAACAACUGCAGCCGGGUGCUUCCAACUCAAAGGAACCAACUACACCAUAAUCUACGCCUGCUGUGAUCGACCGUACUGUAACUGGUGCCCGAGUGUCACAGCCGAACUCUCCAUGACUGUAGGUGUGAUAGCCAGCAGCUUGAUUCACAAUACUAAGAGCUCCAUUAGAGGCUCAUGUCAGGAGGGAAGAUGCUUAUGUGGGUCAGCAAGAGUCUCUGCAGCCUCAGCGCAGAGUAAUGCUGACGGUCUGCAGGGUUCUCAACUGUUGUUUAUUUUAGUGUCUUAGUAGAAAUCUGUUUUUAGAAUAUUUAAAUGUCCAUGAAAUAAAACAUUUGUCCUUUUU